This is an unclassified non-coding RNA of Anolis carolinensis (green anole), 298 nucleotides long. It matches the Rfam family "Metazoan signal recognition particle RNA". From Rfam's summary of the family: The signal recognition particle (SRP) is a universally conserved ribonucleoprotein. It is involved in the co-translational targeting of proteins to membranes. The record is from Ensembl. NCBI's taxonomy places the organism in Eukaryota, Metazoa, Chordata, Lepidosauria, Squamata, Anolidae.
GCCGGGCGCGGUGGCGCGCGCCUGUAAUCCAGCUGCGCGGAGGCUGAGGGCGGCGGAUGGCGUGAGCUCAGGAGUUCUGGGCCGCGGCGGGCUAUGCCGAUCGGGUGUCCGCGCUAAGUCCGGCGUCAAUAUGGGGGCCCGCGGGGAGCCGGGGGCCGCCAGGUUGCCUCAGGAGGGGUGAACCGGCCCAGGCCGGAGACGGAGCAGGUCAAAACUCCCGCGCCGACCAGUAGCGGGACCGCGCCCGUGAAUAGCCGCCACGGCGCAGCCUGGGCAAGACAGCCAGACCCGACCUCAA